This 739-nucleotide long non-coding RNA is filed under the name Helianthus annuus (common sunflower). Its description in RNAcentral is "hypothetical non coding rna". The record is from RNAcentral. Lineage: Eukaryota; Viridiplantae; Streptophyta; Magnoliopsida; Asterales; Asteraceae.
GAAUCUGCGAGACGGAUUCGAAGCAUGAAAGUAAUGAAGUAUGAAUGACCUGUUUGACCUUGAAAAGUCAAACUGUAAAAGUUGACAAAUGAGUUAAAGAUCUGCGAAAGAAUGGUUAUGUAAUUGACCCAUUAUGAACGGGUUAAACGACGAAAGCGAUAUAUAAGGAAACGGUCAUGUAUUGACCUGUUAUGAACGGGUCAAAUGCACUAAUGUUUUAAAAGGGAAUCGAGAAAAGAUUAAUAGGUAAACAAGAUGAUGUAAUAAAACGUCUGAAUGAAGUAUGUAAAUCCCUAAUCCUAUAAUGAGAAUGGCAGAAAUCAUGAUGUGAUGAACCUAUCAAGGACGGCGGAAGAAUGCUCGUAAGCAGAAGCUCAUCACAUGGAUGAAUCAGGUCAAUCCAGAGAUGGUAUGAAUGUAACGAAGAGGGUCGAUUCGCUUUUGCUUGUCGAGGUACUGCAUCAAAACAGUAAGAAUGUGUUAUAAAAACGAAGACUUGGCUUUUAGAAGCGGAUUAAGAAUGAAUUUUAGUUCAGGCGGAUGUAGUAAGAAGACCGUGCAUGAGUAAGAAGGUAGGAACGAAACUCUAGGUAUAAAUGAAACUAGUAGAACUGAUACUAACGGUGAAAUGUGUUAGUAAGUUGACAUGAACUUCAAAUUGUUGUAAUGUAAAUCAUGGUAUUAGACUUUUUAGGAUGCUACUAGUUUGCACACUUUAGAUUAAGUACGAUAAUGUGAU